GAUGAAGAACGUAGCGAAAUGCGAUACGUAAUGUGAAUUGCAGAAUUCAGUGAAUCAUCGAGUCUUUGAACGCACAUUGCGCCCCCUGGUAUUCCGGGGGGCAUGCCUGUCCGAGCGUCAUUGCUGCCCUCAAGCACGGCUUGUGUGUUGGGCCUCCGUCCUCCUCUCGGGGGACGGGCCCGAAAGGCAGCGGCGGCACCGCGUCCGGUCCUCGAGCGUAUGGGGCUUCGUCACCCGCUCUUGUAGGCCCGGCCGGCGCUUGCCGACACAUCAAUCUUUUUUCCAGGUUGACCUCGGAUCAGGUAGGGAUACCCGCUGAACUUAAGCAUAUCAAUAAGCGGAGA
This 344-nucleotide unclassified non-coding RNA is filed under the name soil metagenome. Its description in RNAcentral is "partial contains 5.8S ribosomal RNA, internal transcribed spacer 2, and large subunit ribosomal RNA". The stretch from base 1 to 120 matches the Rfam family "5.8S ribosomal RNA", at positions 35 to 154 of the family's 154-position model. The record is from RNAcentral.